UACAGGGGGUGCAAGCGUUGUUCGGAAUUAUUGGGCGUAAAGCGCGUGUAGGCGGACCACUAAGUCUGGUGUGAAAUCCCUCGGCUUAACCGAGGACGUGCAUUGGGUACUGGUGGCCUUGAGUCCUGGAGAGGGUAGCGGAAUUCCCAGUGUAGAGGUGAAAUUCGUAGAUAUAGGAAGGAACACCAGUGGCGAAGGCGACUACCUGGACUGAUACUGACACUGAGGUGCGAAAGCGUGGGGA
This 244-nucleotide ribosomal RNA is filed under the name uncultured bacterium. RNAcentral describes it as "partial 16S ribosomal RNA". It matches the Rfam family "Bacterial small subunit ribosomal RNA", at positions 524 to 767 of the family's 1533-position model. The record is from RNAcentral.